This 329-nucleotide unclassified non-coding RNA is filed under the name soil metagenome. RNAcentral's name for it is "partial contains 5.8S ribosomal RNA, internal transcribed spacer 2, and large subunit ribosomal RNA". The stretch from base 1 to 120 matches the Rfam family "5.8S ribosomal RNA", at positions 35 to 154 of the family's 154-position model. The record is from RNAcentral.
GAUGAAGAACGUAGCGAAAUGCGAUAAGUAGUGUGAAUUGCAGAAUUCAGUGAAUCAUCGAAUCUUUGAACGCACAUUGCGCCCCUUGGUAUCCCGAGGGGCAUGCCUGUUCGAGCGUCAUUUCACCACUCAAGCCUGGCUUGGUGUUGGGCGACGUCCUCUUUGGGGACGCGCCUCGAAACGCUCGGCGGCGUGGCACCGGCUUUAAGCGUAGCAGAAUCUUUCGCUUUGGAAGUCGGGGCCCCGUCUGCCGGAAGACCUGCUCGCGAGGUUGACCUCGGAUCAGGCAGGGAUACCCGCUGAACUUAAGCAUAUCAAUAAGCGGAGGA